This 345-nucleotide ribosomal RNA is filed under the name Aenigmaticum californicum. Its description in RNAcentral is "partial 12S ribosomal RNA". Lineage: Eukaryota; Metazoa; Arthropoda; Insecta; Coleoptera; Corylophidae. The record is from RNAcentral.
UCUAAAUGUAAUUAAUUAUCAAAUUAGUAUUAGUUAAGUUCUUUAAAUUUAAAGAUUUUGGCGGUAUUUUAUUCUAUUCAGAGGAACCUGUUCUAUAAUUGAUAAUCCACAUUAAUUUAUACUUAAUUUAGAAGUUUGUAUAUCAUCGUUAUUUGAAUAUUUUAAAAGAAUUUAAUAUUCAAAACUUAAAAUUUUAGUUAAAAUCAGAUCAAGGUAUAGCUUAUAAUUAAGAAGAAAUGGGUUACAAUAAAUUUAUUUUUGGAUUUUUAAUUUAAAAUUAAAUUAAAAUUGGAUUUGAAAGUAAAAUUUUAAAUUUUUAAAAUUUGAGUAAGUUUUAAAAUAUGC